AGAGUUUGAUCCUGGCUCAGGAUGAACGCUGGCGGUAUGCUUAACACAUGCAAGUCGAACGGUGUCUUCGGACACAGUGGCGGACGGGUGAGUAACGCGUGAGAAUCUGGCUCUAGGUCUGGGACAACCACUGGAAACGGUGGCUAAUACCGGAUGUGCCGAGAGGUGAAAGGUUAACUGCCUAGAGAUGAGCUCGCGUCUGAUUAGCUAGUUGGAAGUGUAAUGGACUCCCAAGGCGACGAUCAGUAGCUGGUCUGAGAGGACGAUCAGCCACACUGGGACUGAGACACGGCCCAGACUCCUACGGGAGGCAGCAGUGGGGAAUUUUCCGCAAUGGGCGAAAGCCUGACGGAGCAAUACCGCGUGAGGGAGGAAGGCUCUUGGGUCGUAAACCUCUUUUCUCAGGGAAGAACACAAUGACGGUACCUGAGGAAUAAGCAUCGGCUAACUCCGUGCCAGCAGCCGCGGUAAUACGGAGGAUGCAAGCGUUAUCCGGAAUGAUUGGGCGUAAAGCGUCCGCAGGUGGCAAUGUAAGUCUGCUGUUAAAGAGUCUAGCUCAACUAGAUAAAAGCAGUGGAAACUACAUAGCUAGAGUACGUUCGGGGCAGAGGGAAUUCCUGGUGUAGCGGUGAAAUGCGUAGAGAUCAGGAAGAACACCGGUGGCGAAGGCGCUCUGCUAGGCCGUAACUGACACUGAGGGACGAAAGCUAGGGGAGCGAAUGGGAUUAGAUACCCCAGUAGUCCUAGCCGUAAACGAUGGAUACUAGGCGUGGCUUGUAUCGACCCGAGCCGUGCCGUAGCUAACGCGUUAAGUAUCCCGCCUGGGGAGUACGCCGGCAACGGUGAAACUCAAAGGAAUUGACGGGGGCCCGCACAAGCGGUGGAGUAUGUGGUUUAAUUCGAUGCAACGCGAAGAACCUUACCAAGGCUUGACAUGUCGCGAAUCUUCUUGAAAGGGAAGAGUGCCUUCGGGAGCGCGAACACAGGUGGUGCAUGGCUGUCGUCAGCUCGUGUCGUGAGAUAUUGGGUUAAGUCCCGCAACGAGCGCAACCCUCGUUUUUAGUUGCCAGCAUUAAGUUGGGCACUCUAGAGAGACUGCCGGUGACAAACCGGAGGAAGGUGGGGAUGACGUCAAGUCAGCAUGCCCUUUAUGCCUUGGGCUACACACGUACUACAAUGCUCCGGACAGAGGGCAGCAAGCAUGCGAAUGCAAGCAAAUCCCGUAAACCGGAGCUCAGUUCAGAUCGCAGGCUGCAACUCGCCUGCGUGAAGGAGGAAUCGCUAGUAAUUGCAGGUCAGCAUACUGCAGUGAAUUCGUUCCCGGGCCUUGUACACACCGCCCGUCACACCAUGGAGGCUGGUAGUGCCCGAAGUCAUUACUCCAACCUUUCGGGGAGGAGGAUGCCUAAGGCAGGACUGGUGACUGGGGUGAAGUCGAAACAAGGUA
RNAcentral lists this ribosomal RNA (1447 nucleotides) under metagenome. Its description in RNAcentral is "bacterial SSU rRNA". It matches the Rfam family "Bacterial small subunit ribosomal RNA". The record is from RNAcentral.